This is a long non-coding RNA of Carica papaya (papaya), 772 nucleotides long. RefSeq lists it as uncharacterized. The record is from RefSeq and is a predicted model, not a curated record. Lineage: Eukaryota; Viridiplantae; Streptophyta; Magnoliopsida; Brassicales; Caricaceae.
AAAAAAAGCGCGAGAGGGAGAGGGAGAGAUUGCCAGAAUUAGAGUUAGUGAGUGAGUGAGUGAGUGAGUGAGUGAGAGAGAGAGAGAGUUGUGUAAGGCCACGUCGCUGUGCCAGAGAAGGAAAAUGGACUUUGUUGAGGAACCUUAAGACGCGAGAGUGAGGAGGUUUAAAAUUAUAACCGGAGAUCGAAGGAACGUUGACCUUCUCUUCUAUUUUUAGAAUUCAAGCAUCCACAAAGAUACGACAACAGAGGGGUAAAAGCGAUCAUGCAAUAGUGUACUUCCAGUACACAUUAGGAAGUGCUCCCGAACAGAGAUUAUCCAUGCAGGAUCUCGUCAAAUCCAAGACCAGAAAGGAAGUGAAUCCGGGACUAAGAAGGAUGACCCGAGAUGAAGAAGUUAUUGGGCCUCACGGGCAAGGAAAGGCUCAGCCUUAGAAUUCUGCCCCAAGAAGAAGCCCAUACCAUGGUAUGGAUUGGCCCACGCAUGCACAAGAAGAAGUUUCCGCACGUGGGUGGGAUUUUUGCCUACCUAAAGGAGCACUCAGGGCAUAUAAAGGAGUAAGGGUAGGCAGCAAGAGCGUGCACGUGCAUGCACAUGCCUCAACUUGCCACAUGUACAAGAACGCACAUGUGCGAGCAAAGCUAGCUGUGUGUGUACCUCAACCGCGCGCGCAUGGAGGCUUUUGUGCAAGCCCAAAAGCGCGUGACCAAAAAGCCUGCGUGGCAGUUGCUUGCGGACAGCCUGUCAAUUGCCUUCAGUCCAAUAUAGA